This is a long non-coding RNA of Capsicum annuum, 2581 nucleotides long. RefSeq lists it as uncharacterized. NCBI's taxonomy places the organism in Eukaryota, Viridiplantae, Streptophyta, Magnoliopsida, Solanales, Solanaceae. The transcript has 3 exons. The record is from RefSeq and is a predicted model, not a curated record.
UGGAAAUCAAUUGAUCACUAUAGAUAUAAAGUCUUUGAGCCACUGAUUGUAACUAGCCACACCUAGUUCAUCUAAUUUCUGAAGUUCUGAUAUAAUGGAAAAAGCCUUCACUAUUUUUCACUUAAUAUCACUCAUGUUGCUUCACGUGGUCGUGGAUAGUUUAGCCACUACUCAAACCAAAAUUAACACUGAUCAAUAUGCUCUUCUUUUCUUGAAAUCUCAAAUAAUUUCUGACCCCUCUCAUUUGUUGGAGGAAAGUUGGUCUCCAACUACUUCUGUUUGCCGUUGGGCUGGAGUUACUUAUGGUUCUCGUCACCAGAGAGUGACGUCAUUGAAUAUUUCCAACAUGGAUCUUACAGGCAGAAUUCCUCCUGAUCUUGGAAAUCUCACAUUUCUUAUUUCCCUUGACCUGAGUCGCAACAACUUCUAUGGCAAUUGCCUCAAGAAAUGGCACGUCUUCAUCGGUUAAGGUUGUUGUACUUGGUUUUAACAUCUUCAGUGGGAAGCUUCCGUCUUGGUUUGGGGUGUUUCACCAACUUCAGAUUCUGACUGUAAGAAAUAUUAGUUUCAGUGGUUCCAUCCCCUCUUUAUUUUCUAAUAUUUCAGCACUUCAAACUUUAGAUUUGUGAAGCAAUUCCUUAGACGGCCAGAUCCCAGAAGAGAUUGGAAAUCUUCAAAAUCUAAGGGUUCUAAGAUUAACUAGUAACAAGCUUAUAGGUUCUAUCCCUCCAUCUCUCUCGAAUGACUCAAUGUUGGUGACUUUAUAUAUUUCUUUUAAUUUCCUUUAAGGAAAUAUUCCUGAAGAGAUUGGAAAACUUCAAAACGUAAAACUUUUGGGAAUACAAUCUAUUCAACUUAUAGGUUCCAUACCAUUCUCCAUCUUCAACAUUUCUAGAAUUGAAGCCAUUGCAUACAAAUAAUACCUUAUCAAGAAAUCUUCCUGCAAAUAUGUGUGAUAAUCUUCCAAUGCUGAAUGGGCUUUAUCUAAGUUACAAUGAGCUACGUGGUUGGUUAUAUGCCUCUAAGCUUGCCAAACUGUUCAAAACUCCAAAAGUUAUCUUUAUCUUAUAACGAGUUUGGCGGACCCAUACAUAGUGAAAUAAGACAUUUAAGUAACUUGCAGGAGCUUCAUCUCGCAAAUAACCAUUUCGAAGGGAGAAUUCCAGAGGAAAUUGGGAUUCUUGAUAAUUUGGUGCACUUAACACUAACAAGAAACAAUCUUACCCAACGUUUUCCAAUCUCCAUAUGCAAUAUCUCCUCACUGGAGUGGUUGGCAUAGGAUGAAACCAAUCUCUUUGGGCCUUUGCCAAGGGAGGUUAGCAACUUGACCAAACUGCAAUAUCUACAUCUUGAUAGUAAUAUGCUUACAGGUGAAAUAUAAAAGGAGGCAGGGAAUCUCAUUGAGUUGGAUGAAAUUUAUCUUGGUUUGAACAAGUUUACUGGUUCAAUUCAUAUGGAUAUCUUCAACAUAUCAGGGAUGAUAGAGAUCCAACUUGUAGAAAAUAAUCUAACAGGAACCCUCCCAUUAAAUAUAGGUUAUACGUUACCCAACAUUAGACUUCUUCUUCUCGGUCUCUUAAAUCUUUUUGGGACUAUACCUCAUUCCUCUCCAAUUGUUCCAAACUCACUACACUAGACCUAGGUGGAAACAUACUUACCGGUUUGAUUCCAUCCUCUCUUGGAUAUUUGAUUCAUCGUAAGUACCUAGUCUUGGAGGACAGCAAUUUAAUGAGCGACACAUCGCCAAGCUUCUUGACUUCCUUAUCAAAUUAUAAGGAUUUAAAAACUCUUGCUCUAUCUCGGAACCCUCUGAAUGUUGUGCUUCCAGUCUCCUGGGGCAAUCUUUCCUGUACUUCUCUUCUAAGAUUUAUAAUUGCUGAUUAUGGAAUUAAAGGGGAAAUUCCAAAAGGAAUUGGGAACUUAAGCAGCUUAAUAGACCUCGAUCUUUCUGGAAAUGAUUUGAUUGGAUCAGUACCCACAACAGUUAGAAACUUGAGAUUCCUUCAGCGCUUUAACUUGAGCCACAAAAAACUCUCUGGAUUAAUUGGAGAUUGAUACAAGCGUAAAGAGCACAAGGAUUACAAAUGAUACGAGUUCAAAGAGGGUACAAGCACAAACUGCCAUACUCGAACCAUAUCCAAGAAGUGGGAAGAGUGUGAAGACCUUUGCAAAAAGUGGCAAACGGGUAUCGAGAGCUCAAGACCAUUCCAUAGGAGCCAAGCUUGGGAACUACAACGUCUUCAAGGCACAUUCAUGAAUAUGGAUGUGUUUGAGCAUGUCUUAAGUUUGUACAAGGGAGUGUAUGUAUUAAAGUGUGAAGACAUGCCUUGAGUGUCAUAAAAACACUACAAGGCAGCCCCAUUUAUACACUCCAAACCCACCCCCUUCAUUAAGGGUAAAGGUGUUAUUUCCCAUCUCUUUUGUAAUAGACUAUAAGUAGGAACCCUUAGUCUUAUUUGCUUAGUUAGCUUAUUUUGAAAAUCAAUAUUGUAACAUUGAAACACCUUGUAACAUUGAAACACCAUCCUCUCAAGAGAGAGUAGACCACCACUUUGACAUCACAAAAAAUGGUUUCUUCUUG